Molecule: long non-coding RNA, 1035 nt
Filed under: Cottoperca gobio
Lineage: Eukaryota; Metazoa; Chordata; Actinopteri; Perciformes; Bovichtidae
Description: lncRNA (ENSCGOG00000001931.1)
Source: RNAcentral
GUGGAGAGAGCGUUCUUGUAGAGGUGUAGGUGUUCAGUGUAAAGUUGGAUGUGCACUGAGAUUCCAGUCUUUUUGCAAAGCCGCUCGAGUCGACGACCAGUGGUUUUAUGCAGGACCUUUAGUUGUAAUGUAAUAUUUUUAAAGUGCGAUAUAUAUAUAUAAACAAAUAGGCUUCAAUUUGUUUAUGUGCUACCAAACCAAACUAAAUGCAAAUUUUUGCAAAUUUAAACUGAGAUCAGAAGUUGUUUUGAGGACACGUCUGUUCGACACGUUUCUUUCUUUCUUUCUUGCUAUAAUGUUUCCCUCAUCUGUCAACUAUAUCCUAUGAAGUCACAUUGUAUCUGUUUUGUUUAUUAUUAUUUUAUCUUAUAUUAAUUGUAUUUUAUUGUGUCUGCUCUGUAACUAUGAGCACACAAACACUGAGCACAUCUCUUUCAUGAGACAGGUGUGUAUGAGAGGGACGAGGAGCUCAACAGUUGCAGAUAAACUCCUGAACACUGUCAAACUUCAACAAAAAAAGUGUUGGUACUAAAGUUCGUCUGUUAAAGGUGUAGUACCAAAAUGGAUACAUUUAUCUUUCAAGUAAGAAAGUGUGCUGGAGCUUGUUUGCAUUUGUUGUGCUCUGUAACUACAUCAUUUCUUAAAAUGCAACAAGAAUCCCUGUGGUGUAUCUGCUGCAGCAAUAACACGUUGUUUGAUGAUGUCAUCGUUCCAAACUCCCACCGGCAUGCCGUACGGUACGGUGAACCUGCUGAACGGAGUCAGUCCACCGAAACACCCGUCACUUGUACCGCCGGCGUGGGAACCUUCAUCCUGGAGUUCGCCACGCUGAGUCGACUAGCAGGAGACGCAACGUUUGAGAACGCAGCCCGCCGAGCCCUGAGAGCACUGAGAGCACUGAGAGCAGAUCUGACAUCGGGCUGCCGCAACACACAUCAAAUGAACAGAGAGCAAACAACGAUGGACGUAGUUCUUCUGCUCAUCAUGGCUGCACCAGGCAAGUGUUUUAUACGUGUUUAUAUUAUUUUAUUACAG